UGGGGAAUAUUGCACAAUGGAGGGAACUCUGAUGCAGCGACGCCGCGUGAACGAAGAAGGCUUUCGAGUCGUAAAGUUCUUUUAUAUGGGAAGAUAAUGACGGUACCAUAAGAAAAAGCCCCGGCUAACUACGUGCCAGCAGCCGCGGUAAUACGUAGGGGGCUAGCGUUGUCCGGAAUCACUGGGCGUAAAGGGUUCGCAGGUGGAAAUGCAAGUCAGGUGUAAAAGGCAGUAGCUUAACUACUGUAAGCAUUUGAAACUGCAUAGCUUGAGAAGAGUAGAGGUAAGUGGAAUUUUUAGUGUAGCGGUGAAAUGCGUAGAUAUUAAAAAGAAUACCGGUGGCGAAGGCGACUUACUGGGCUAAUUCUGACGCUGAGGAACGAAAGCGUGGGUAGCAAACAGG
This 403-nucleotide ribosomal RNA is filed under the name bacterium. RNAcentral describes it as "partial 16S ribosomal RNA". It matches the Rfam family "Bacterial small subunit ribosomal RNA", at positions 355 to 776 of the family's 1533-position model. The record is from RNAcentral.